GCUGGGCGCUGUGGUGCACGCCUUUAGUCCCAGCUACUCGGGAGGCUGAGACAGGAGGAUCGCUUGAGUCCAGGAGUUCUGGGCUGUAGUGCGCUAUGCCGAUCGGGUGUCCGCACUAAGUUCGGCAUCAAUAUGGUGACCUCCCGGGAGCGGGGGACCACCAGGUUGCCUAAGGAGGAGUGAACCGGCCCAGGUCGGAAACGGAGCAGGUCAAAACUCCCGUGCUGAUCAAUAGUGGGAUCGCGCCUGUGAAUAGCCACUGCACUCCAGCCUGGGCAACAUAGCGAGACCCUGUCUCUU
Rattus norvegicus (Norway rat) is the source of this 300-nucleotide unclassified non-coding RNA. Ensembl annotates it as Metazoan signal recognition particle RNA. NCBI's taxonomy places the organism in Eukaryota, Metazoa, Chordata, Mammalia, Rodentia, Muridae. The record is from Ensembl.